GGGGGUGUAGCUCAGUGGUAGAGCACUUGCCUAGCAUACUCAGAAACCUGGAUUCAAUCCUUAGCACCACCA
This 72-nucleotide transfer RNA is filed under the name Ictidomys tridecemlineatus (thirteen-lined ground squirrel). Its description in RNAcentral is "Spermophilus tridecemlineatus (thirteen-lined ground squirrel) tRNA". It matches the Rfam family "tRNA". From Rfam's summary of the family: Transfer RNA (tRNA) molecules are approximately 80 nucleotides in length. Lineage: Eukaryota; Metazoa; Chordata; Mammalia; Rodentia; Sciuridae. The record is from Rfam by way of RNAcentral.